UACGAAGGUCCCAAGCGUUGUUCGGAAUCACUGGGCGUAAAGGGAGCGUAGGCGGCGCGGUAAGUCAGAUGUGAAAUCCCGGGGCUCAACCCCGGAACUGCAUCCGAUACUGCCGUGCUUGAGCAAUGGAGAGGUAGCUGGAAUUAUCGGUGUAGCAGUGAAAUGCGUAGAUAUCGAUAGGAACACUCGUGGCGAAAGCGAGCUACUGGACAUUUGCUGACGCUGAGGCUCGAAGGCUAGGGGAGCGAAAGGG
Molecule: non-coding RNA, 253 nt
Filed under: uncultured bacterium
Lineage: Bacteria
Also listed under: 1 other name
Description: partial 16S ribosomal RNA
Rfam family: Bacterial small subunit ribosomal RNA
Source: RNAcentral